GUAAGCUGUUUAAUAUAAUAAAAAAUGUCUUUUCAUAUUCCUAUCGGCGCAUACAAAGUUGGCAGACUAUAAGCAUCAAGUUUCACAUCAAACGUGAAAAAAGCAGAAUGUCGAAAAUAAUUAUAAUUUUGGUAUUUUGUUGUUCCAUCAUCAUUAUCUCUUGUCAAGAAUUCAAAAUAGACACACGCUUGACGACCGCUGUAACAGAAGGCGGCGGUUGGUGGAAUCAACCGAAUACCAAUUCCAAAAAAGAAAACACAAAAGUUAAAACAAAAGACUUUGAAAAGCUACAAACAGAAGAACACCUAGAUGUUCUGCGAGAAGUCCUUGAAGAUCUUUACUAAGUGUGAAUAAAAUUCAAGUCAUUUAGGGAGUAUAAUCAGCGAAACCUUUCUUAUUUUUCUUUAGAGCUAUAUGUUUGGCAUGGCUUACUGAAAUGACGGAUUUUUUUGUAAAAAAAGAACCUUUUUUUUAUUUUCUAUAAUUUGAAUCCCGCACUGACUUGUCAUUUCGUUAUACUCAGCAUUCAAGAAAUUAUAUCCAGUAUUUUAGUUGAAUUUUAUCAGUUAUUGUUAUUUUUGUAGAAGACCACAGAAAAUAUACGAAUAGCAUCCUAAUGGAAUACUAAUUUCCAAUUUGGUAAAUGAGCGACUGUCUGUUUAUGAGCGACCGCCUUUUUAUGGUGUUUUAAUUUGAUUUUAAAUUUGUUCAAACUUAGGUCAUGCGAUUUUACCCGGAAGUAAAGAAGGCUGAUCUCCGAGGGCAAGUUAAGAGCCAUUACUAAAAUGUCAAAAAGAUACUGAAACUAUGUUUAUUUAUGUUGGUGCGUUGCACCAUGAUAAGUACAUAUUAGCGGGACAAUUGAGCAGUUUAAUUAAGUAAAUUCUAAUUUCAAAUUGAAUAUCCAAAUGGGAUAGUAAAUUCUCCGAAUCGGUCCUCAGACGAAAAUUCGGGACCGCCUCCAUCUUGUUUUUGAUUUUGUCUACCCAAAGGCAAAGGUGAAUUCCUCAUAUUUUUAUUGAGGACAUAUUUUCAAAAUGCAGCUCUGACAUAUGACUUUUCUUUCUAGUGAUUUAUUAAAGAAAAAUAUUUUUAUUUCGUGUGAACACUAAGCAAACUGUCUGAGUGAUAGAUAACAAGUUUUCGACACUUUAUGUGUCUGCGGGACACAUUCCAGUGAAAAAAUCAA
Long non-coding RNA from Styela clava, 1189 nucleotides. RefSeq lists it as uncharacterized. Lineage: Eukaryota; Metazoa; Chordata; Ascidiacea; Stolidobranchia; Styelidae. The record is from RefSeq and is a predicted model, not a curated record.